Molecule: ribosomal RNA, 472 nt
Filed under: uncultured Gammaproteobacteria bacterium
Lineage: Bacteria; Pseudomonadati; Pseudomonadota; Gammaproteobacteria
Also listed under: 1 other name
Description: bacterial SSU rRNA
Rfam family: Bacterial small subunit ribosomal RNA
Source: RNAcentral
AUUGAACGCUGGCGGCAUGCCUAACACAUGCAAGUCGAACGCGAAAGCCUUCGGGUGAGUAGAGUGGCGGACGGGUGAGUAACGCGUGGGAAUCUGCCCUGCAGUGGGGAACAACCCGGGGAAACUCGGGCUAAUACCGCAUACGUCCUAUGGGAGAAAGGGGGCUUCGGCUCUCGCUGCAGGAUGAGCCCGCGUCCGAUUAGCUUGUUGGUAGGGUAACGGCCUACCAAGGCAACGAUCGGUAGCUGGUCUGAGAGGAUGACCAGCCACACUGGGACUGAGACACGGCCCAGACUCCUACGGGAGGCAGCAGUGGGGAAUAUUGGACAAUGGGCGAAAGCCUGAUCCAGCAAUGCCGCGUGUGUGAAGAAGGCCUGCGGGUUGUAAAGCACUUUCAGUGGGGAAGAAAAGCCGAGGGUUAAUACCCCUAGGUCUUGACGUUACCCACAGAAGAAGCACCGGCUAACUCCGU